RNAcentral lists this ribosomal RNA (484 nucleotides) under uncultured bacterium. RNAcentral describes it as "partial 16S ribosomal RNA". It matches the Rfam family "Bacterial small subunit ribosomal RNA", at positions 28 to 523 of the family's 1533-position model. The record is from RNAcentral.
GACGAACGCUGGCAGCGUGCUUAACACAUGCAAGUCGAACGAUGAACCCGGAGCUUGCUCCGGCGGAUUAGUGGCGAACGGGUGAGUAACACGUGAGUAACCUGCCCUUGACUCUGGGAUAACUGCGGGAAACUGUAGCUAAUACCGGAUACGACCCUCGGCGGCAUCGCCAGGGGGUGGAAAGAAUUUCGGUCAAGGAUGGACUCGCGGCCUAUCAGCUAGUUGGUGAGGUAACGGCUCACCAAGGCGACGACGGGUAGCCGGCCUGAGAGGGUGACCGGCCACACUGGGACUGAGACACGGCCCAGACUCCUACGGGAGGCAGCAGUGGGGAAUAUUGCACAAUGGGCGCAAGCCUGAUGCAGCAACGCCGCGUGAGGGAUGACAGCCUUCGGGUUGUAAACCUCUUUUAGUAGGGAAGAAGCGAAAGUGACGGUACCUGCAGAAAAAGCACCGGCUAACUACGUGCCAGCCGCCGCGGUAA